RNAcentral lists this ribosomal RNA (485 nucleotides) under uncultured bacterium. RNAcentral describes it as "bacterial SSU rRNA". It matches the Rfam family "Bacterial small subunit ribosomal RNA", at positions 15 to 518 of the family's 1533-position model. The record is from RNAcentral.
GAUCUGGCUCAGAACGAACGCUGGCGGCAUGGAUUAGGCAUGCAAGUUGAACGAAGCAGCAAUGCUUAGUGGCGCAAGGGUGAGGAACACGUGAGUGACCUACCCGCAAGUUUGGAACAGCUCCUGGAAACGGGAAUUAAUACCGGAUGUGAUCGAUGAACUGCAUGGUUUAUUGAUUAAAGCAGCAAUGCGCUUGCGGAUGGGCUCGCGUCCCAUUAGCUAGUUGGUGAGGUAACGGCCCACCAAGGCCAUGAUGGGUAGCUGGUCUGAGAGGACGACCAGCCACACGUGGGACUGAAGAACUCGCCCAGACCUCCGUACGGGAGGCUGCAGUCGAAGUAAGUUUUGGGCAAUGGACGAAAGUCUGACCCCAAGCAAUGCCGCGUGCGGGAUGAAGGUCUUCGGAUUGUAAACCGCUGUUUGGAGGGACGAAAAUUGACGGUACUUCCAGAGGAAGCCACGGCUAACUACGUGCCAGCAGCUGC